RNAcentral lists this unclassified non-coding RNA (429 nucleotides) under Hevea brasiliensis (rubber tree). Lineage: Eukaryota; Viridiplantae; Streptophyta; Magnoliopsida; Malpighiales; Euphorbiaceae. The record is from RNAcentral.
GAGGAGGUCUUCAGUUGCAUGCGUUCAAGGAAGAGAUUAUGUUUACAGGAAAUGGACAGCACCCCAAGUAGUAAUGAUUUAAAGAAAUUGCUGAUUGCAGAUGCCAAACAAAAGUUUAUUUCACGGAUACCAGAACCUCUAAAAGAAGACCUUAUUAAAAAGCUUCAACUAUUUAGCCAAGAAAAGUAACAUUGGUGGAUCUCUUCUCUUUUAAUCGGGCGGUAGCUGUGCUGAGAAAAAACCCUAUCUUGGUUCUUGAUGUACAUCCAUAUAAUGCUAAGACUAAGAGAUGCAGUCACAAUCUAUAUAACAAAAUUCAUUCUGUUGUAAUUGUUCCUUCUGAUGGAAAUGGAAUGUGUGGAUGGUGAUACAUGAAGAAUAUGUCCUAUACUCUGUUCAAGCAAGCAUUGGCAUCGUUGAGAAUUCGUC